RNAcentral lists this ribosomal RNA (944 nucleotides) under Staphylococcus epidermidis. RNAcentral describes it as "bacterial LSU rRNA". It matches the Rfam family "Bacterial large subunit ribosomal RNA", at positions 132 to 1072 of the family's 2925-position model. Lineage: Bacteria; Bacillati; Bacillota; Bacilli; Caryophanales; Staphylococcaceae. The record is from RNAcentral.
CAUGAGUUAUGUCAUGUUAUCGACAUGUGAAUUCAUAGCAUGUCAGAAGGCAGACCCGGAGAACUGAAACAUCUUAGUACCCGGAGGAAGAGAAAGAAAAAUCGAUUCCCUGAGUAGCGGCGAGCGAAACGGGAAGAGCCCAAACCAACAAGCUUGCUUGUUGGGGUUGUAGGACACUCUAUACGGAGUUACAAAAGAACAUGUUAGACGAAUCAUCUGGAAAGAUGAAUCAAAGAAGGUAAUAAUCCUGUAGUCGAAAACAUAUUCUCUCUUGAGUGGAUCCUGAGUACGACGGAGCACGUGAAAUUCCGUCGGAAUCUGGGAGGACCAUCUCCUAAGGCUAAAUACUCUCUAGUGACCGAUAGUGAACCAGUACCGUGAGGGAAAGGUGAAAAGUACCCCGGAAGGGGAGUGAAAGAGAACUUGAAACCGUGUGCUUACAAGUAGUCAGAGCCCGUUAAUGGGUGAUGGCGUGCCUUUUGUAGAAUGAACCGGCGAGUUACGAUCUGAUGCAAGGUUAAGCAGCAAAUGUGGAGCCGCAGCGAAAGCGAGUCUGAAUAGGGCGUUGAGUAUUUGGUCGUAGACCCGAAACCAGGUGAUCUACCCUUGGUCAGGUUGAAGUUCAGGUAACACUGAAUGGAGGACCGAACCGACUUACGUUGAAAAGUGAGCGGAUGAACUGAGGGUAGCGGAGAAAUUCCAAUCGAACUUGGAGAUAGCUGGUUCUCUCCGAAAUAGCUUUAGGGCUAGCCUCAAGUGAUGAUUAUUGGAGGUAGAGCACUGUUUGGACGAGGGGCCCCUCUCGGGUUACCGAAUUCAGACAAACUCCGAAUGCCAAUUAAUUUAACUUGGGAGUCAGAACAUGGGUGAUAAGGUCCGUGUUCGAAAGGGAAACAGCCCAGACCACCAGCUAAGGUCCCAAAAUAUAUGUUAAGUGGAAAAGG